This is a long non-coding RNA of Sarcophilus harrisii (Tasmanian devil), 824 nucleotides long. RefSeq lists it as uncharacterized. NCBI's taxonomy places the organism in Eukaryota, Metazoa, Chordata, Mammalia, Dasyuromorphia, Dasyuridae. The record is from RefSeq and is a predicted model, not a curated record. The transcript has 3 exons.
AUUGGCCUGCAUUGUAUAUGUCUUCCAUCAAUCCCAGCUUAUCUAUAUGUAGGGCAUCUAAAGAAUUACAAUAUUCUUUCUGAGAAGCACUGAUCUGAGAAGUGUCUUUAGUUGAUUCUUAUUAUUUUCUCUUUCUUUUUUUAAUGUGGCACAGUUUUAGAUGUUUAUCGGAGUGUUCAUGGAGAAUCUGGAUACUCUUGAGUGGAAUAUGUAGCCAUCUUCUCACUAAGAGUAAUCUUUAUUAAGUAUUACUUUUAUCAUAUAGCUAAAUAUAGAUCUCCAAAAUCUAAAUGUCAUGUAAAUCCAUUUUAAAACUCCUACUAAUAGAUUGUAAGGUCUUCUGUUAAUUCCCAAUGUCACUUAUUCUUCCUUUGUCCUUUACCUAAACACCUUUAUUAUGUCUCAUAUUCUAUGUAUGUUAAAUAAGAAUGAUAGUCAUUGAAGCAGGAAGAAAAUAAGAGAGACUAUUGAAAAAAGAAUCUAUAAGACUUUGACAACUGAUUGAAUGUGAAGAAUUGAAGAUGAUUUCCAGGUUGUGAACUUCAGUGACUGGAAGAAUGAUGGCAUUACACUUUCUUCUGGAAUGGGCUAAAGAAGAGAUCAUAUCUACAUGUCUAGACAGGUAAUCUGAGUUGCUAUUUGGCUAUCUCAGAGUUUUUCCCCAACUUCUACCAGCUAUGAUUAGAAGCAAGGUAUAUGAUGUAAUAAGUCAUUUUGUGAGCAUAAUUCAUUUUAAGAACAUUCAUUCAAAUAUAGCAUAGACAUUGUGAAACUAUUAAGCAAUAAUAUUAUGUUGUUCACUUUUAUUUUCAUAAUAAAACAGA